RNAcentral lists this ribosomal RNA (441 nucleotides) under uncultured bacterium. RNAcentral describes it as "partial 16S ribosomal RNA". It matches the Rfam family "Bacterial small subunit ribosomal RNA", at positions 338 to 795 of the family's 1533-position model. The record is from RNAcentral.
CCUACGGGGGGCAGCAGUGGGGAAUAUUGGGCAAUGGGCGAAAGCCUGACCCAGCAACGCCGCGUGAAGGAAGAAGGCUUUCGGGUUGUAAACUUCUUUUUACAGGGAAGAGCAGAAGACGGUACCUGUCGAAUAAGCCUCGGCUAACUCCGUGCCAGCAGCCGCGGUAAUACGGAGGAUGCGGGCGUUAUCCGGAUUUAUGGGUUUUAAAGGGUGCGUAGGCGGAUUUUUAAGUCAGCGGUAAAAUGUCCGGGCUAAACCCGAGCCGGCCGUUGAAACUGGGGAUCUUGAGUGGGCGAGAAGUAUGCGGAAUGCGUGGUGUAGCGGUGAAAUGCAUAGAUAUCACGCAGAACUCCGAUUGCGAAGGCAGCAUACCGGCGCCCGACUGACGCUGAGGCACGAAAGUGUGGGGAUCGAACAGGAUUAGAUACCCGUGUAGUC